Molecule: long non-coding RNA, 431 nt
Filed under: Rattus norvegicus (Norway rat)
Lineage: Eukaryota; Metazoa; Chordata; Mammalia; Rodentia; Muridae
Description: long non-coding RNA NONRATT020134
Source: RNAcentral
GGUUGCUAAUGCAAUAAAGGCUUCAUUGCCUCCGGGUGCCAUGAAAUCUAGUAAGGAAGGUACACGGUGUAUUCAAGUGGAGAUCACACCAACGUCCUCCAGAAUAUCAAGGAAUGCAGUUACCAGCAUGUCAAUAAGAGGUCACAGGUGGAAAAGACAUGGAGGAAACAAGAGCAGUCGGCAGAGCCGGCCCAGCCUGGAUACGGACACAAUCUCCUGCUGGAAUUUGCAGAGCCGGUUUAAAUAUGAUCAUAGUGUCCAGAAGUCUGUUUCUAAAAUAUAGAAAAGCAAGAUGACAGCUCUGGAAAGGCCAAUUUUGAAGCACUUGGAAUCUUUUCGUUUUGCAUUAAACCUCGGGCUCAUCUAGCUGGGUUUCAUGGUGUGCACAAGAGAAAGAAACAGUAAUAAAAAUGGCUGUCUUGACAUUUUUA